GGUCUAACAGAAAUUCAGUCUAGGGGUAUGAUUUUCGCUUCGCAUGUGAAAGGUCGUGGGUUCAAUUCCCACAGCGUCCA
RNAcentral lists this transfer RNA (80 nucleotides) under Pyrenophora tritici-repentis Pt-1C-BFP. Its description in RNAcentral is "tRNA-Ala (CGC) (tRNA-Ala-CGC-2-1)". It matches the Rfam family "tRNA". Rfam says of the family: Transfer RNA (tRNA) molecules are approximately 80 nucleotides in length. Lineage: Eukaryota; Fungi; Ascomycota; Dothideomycetes; Pleosporales; Pleosporaceae. The record is from RNAcentral.